Molecule: ribosomal RNA, 324 nt
Filed under: Salmonella enterica subsp. enterica serovar Newport
Lineage: Bacteria; Pseudomonadati; Pseudomonadota; Gammaproteobacteria; Enterobacterales; Enterobacteriaceae
Description: partial 23S ribosomal RNA
Rfam family: Bacterial large subunit ribosomal RNA
Source: RNAcentral
UGUUUCGGCUAGGGGGCCAUCCCGGCUUACCAACCCGAUGCAAACUGCGAAUACCGGAGAAUGUUAUCACGGGAGACACACGGCGGGUGCUAACGUCCGUCGUGAAGAGGGAAACAACCCAGACCGCCAGCUAAGGUCCCAAAGUCAUGGUUAAGUGGGAAACGAUGUGGGAAGGCCCAGACAGCCAGGAUGUUGGCUUAGAAGCAGCCAUCAUUUAAAGAAAGCGUAAUAGCUCACUGGUCGAGUCGGCCUGCGCGGAAGAUGUAACGGGGCUAAACCAUGCACCGAAGCUGCGGCAGCGAACGUAUCACUUAAAGCGAUUCA